Molecule: ribosomal RNA, 240 nt
Filed under: uncultured bacterium
Lineage: Bacteria
Description: partial 16S ribosomal RNA
Rfam family: Bacterial small subunit ribosomal RNA
Source: RNAcentral
AUACGUAGGUGGCAAGCGUUGUCCGGAUUUACUGGGCGUUAAAGGGAGCGUAGGCGGAUACUUAAGUGGGAUGUGAAAUACCCGGGCUUAACCUGGGUGCUGCAUUCCAAACUGGAAGUCUAGAGUACAGAGGGGAAAGCGGAAUUCCUAGUGUAGCGGUGAAAUGCGUAGAGAUUAGGAAGAACACCAGUGGCGAAGGCGGCUUUCUGGACUGUAACUGACGCUGAGGCUCGAAAGCGU